RNAcentral lists this ribosomal RNA (460 nucleotides) under uncultured bacterium. Its description in RNAcentral is "partial 16S ribosomal RNA". It matches the Rfam family "Bacterial small subunit ribosomal RNA", at positions 338 to 795 of the family's 1533-position model. The record is from RNAcentral.
CCUACGGGAGGCUGCAGUGAGGAAUAUUGGUCAAUGGGCGCAAGCCUGAACCAGCCAAGUAGCGUGAAGGAUGACUGCUCUACGGGUUGUAAACUUCUUUUAUAAAGGAAUAAAGUGAGGCACGUGUGCCUUUUUGUAUGUACUUUAUGAUUAAGGAUCGGCUAACUCCGUGCCAGCAGCCGCGGUAAUACGGAGGGUCCGAGCGUUAUCCGGAUUUAGUGGGUUUAAAGGGAGCGUAGAUGGGUUUUUAAGUCAGUUGUGAAAGUUUGCGGCUCAACCGUUAGAUUGCAAUUGAUACUGGCGGCCUUGAGUACAGUUGAGGUAGGCGGAAUUCGUGGUGUAGCGGUGAAAUGCUUAGAUAUCACGAAGAACUCCGAUGGCGAAGGCAGCUUACUAAACUGCCACUGACAUUGAUGCUCGAAAGUGUGGGUAUCAAACAGGAUUAGAUACCCCGGUAGUC